UACAAUUUUUAAUGAUGAUAUUCUAAGUAGGAAUCUCAUUGACCAUUCCAACAUGAAAAUAAUUUUAUUACUGAUUUAUUUCAUUAUU
This is a small nucleolar RNA of Lucilia cuprina (Australian sheep blowfly), 88 nucleotides long. It matches the Rfam family "Small nucleolar RNA Me28S-Am2634". From Rfam's summary of the family: Me28S-Am2634 is a member of the C/D class of snoRNA which contain the C (UGAUGA) and D (CUGA) box motifs. This family directs 2'-O-methylation of 28S A-2634. The record is from Rfam. NCBI's taxonomy places the organism in Eukaryota, Metazoa, Arthropoda, Insecta, Diptera, Calliphoridae.